ACAGAGGUCCCAAGCGUUGUUCGGAUUCACUGGGCGUAAAGGGUGCGUAGGCGGCUUGGUAAGUCUGACGUGAAAUCUCCGGGCCUAACCCGGAAACUGCGUUGGAUACUACCUAGCUAGAGGAAUGGAGGGGAGACUGGAAUACUUGGUGUAGCAGUGAAAUGCGUAGAUAUCAAGUGGAACACCAGUGGCGAAGGCGAGUCUCUGGACAUUUCCUGACGCUGAGGCACGAAAGCCAGGGGAGCAAACGG
This 251-nucleotide ribosomal RNA is filed under the name uncultured prokaryote. RNAcentral describes it as "partial 16S rRNA". It matches the Rfam family "Bacterial small subunit ribosomal RNA", at positions 525 to 775 of the family's 1533-position model. The record is from RNAcentral.